Molecule: ribosomal RNA, 1496 nt
Filed under: uncultured bacterium
Lineage: Bacteria
Description: bacterial SSU rRNA
Rfam family: Bacterial small subunit ribosomal RNA
Source: RNAcentral
AGAGUUUGAUCCUGGCUCAGGACGAACGCUGGCGGCGUGCUUAACACAUGCAAGUCGAACGAGGUUAAGUGAAGGAAGUCUUCGGAUGGAAUUUAUUUAACCGAGUGGCGGACGGGUGAGUAACGCGUGAGGAACCUGUCUUCUACAGGGGGAUAACGGUCCGAAAGGAUUGCUAAUACCGCAUAAGACCACGGGGUCGCAUGACUUUGAGGUCAAAGGAGAGAUCCGGUAGAAGGUGGACUCGCGUCCCAUUAGAUAGUUGGUGAGGUAACGGCUCACCAAGUCGACGAUGGGUAGCCGACCUGAGAGGGUGAUCGGCCACAUUGGAACUGAGAUACGGUCCAGACUCCCACGGGAGGCAGCAGUGGGGAAUAUUGGGCAAUGGGCGAAAGCCUGACCCAGCAACGCCGCGUGAGGGAAGAAGGUCUUCGGGUUGUAAGCCUCUGUCCUUGGUGAAAAGGAAGGAUGGUAGCCAAGGAGGAAGCUCCGGCUAACUACGUGCCAGCAGCCGCGGUAAUACGUAGGGAGCGAGCGUUUGUCCGGAAUGAUUGGGCGUAAAGGGCGUGUAGGCGGCCUUUUAAGUCCGGAGUGAAAUCCCUGGCUUCAAGUCAGGGUCUGCUUUGGAAACUGGGAGGCUUGAGUGCAGGAGAGGUUAUCGGAAUUCCCGGUGUAGCGGUGAAAUGCGUAGAGAUCGGGAGGAACACCAGUGGCGAAGGCGGGUAACUGGACUGUAACUGACGCUAAGGCGCGAAAGUGUGGGGAGCAAACAGGAUUAGAUACCCUGGUAGUCCACACUGUAAACGAUGAAUGCUAGGUGUAGGGGGUAUCGACCCCUUCUGUGCCGCAGUAAACACAAUAAGCAUUCCGCCUGGGGAGUACGGCCGCAAGGUUGAAACUCAAAGGAAUUGACGGGGGCCCGCACAAGCAGCGGAGCAUGUGGUUUAAUUCGACGCAACGCGAAGAACCUUACCAGGUCUUGACAUCCAAUUAAAGCUUCAGAGAUGAAGUGUGAGCUUGCUCAAAUUGAGACAGGUGGUGCAUGGUUGUCGUCAGCUCGUGUCGUGAGAUGUUGGGUUAAGUCCCGCAACGAGCGCAACCCUUGUUUACAGUUACUAACGAGUAAUGUUGAGGACUCUGUAGAGACUGCCGGGGACAACUCGGAGGAAGGUGGGGACGACGUCAAAUCAUCAUGCCCCUUAUGACCUGGGCUACACACGUGCUACAAUGGCCGUCACAAAGAGGAGCGAGUGCGUAAGUACGAGCAGAUCUCAAAAAAGCGGUCUCAGUUCGGAUUGUGGGCUGCAACCCGCCCACAUGAAGUCGGAGUUGCUAGUAAUCGCGGAUCAGCAUGCCGCGGUGAAUACGUUCCCGGGCCUUGUACACACCGCCCGUCACACCAUGGGAGUUGAUAGCACCCGAAAGUUGUGAGGUAACCGCAAGGAGCCAGCAACCUAAGGUGAGAUGAAUGACUGGGGUGAAGUCGUAACAAGGUAACC